This is a long non-coding RNA of Vidua macroura (Pin-tailed whydah), 841 nucleotides long. RefSeq lists it as uncharacterized. The transcript is spliced from 2 exons. Lineage: Eukaryota; Metazoa; Chordata; Aves; Passeriformes; Viduidae. The record is from RefSeq and is a predicted model, not a curated record.
UGCCCGGCCUGGAGCUGCAGGGCCUGGGGUGACCCCAGGGCAGGACCUGGCACUUGCUGAACCUCAGCCCAUGGAUCCAGCCUGUCCUGAUCCCUCUGCAGAGCUUCCUGCCCUCCAGCCAGCCUGGUGCUGUAUGUGAAGUUACUGAGGGCACCCUUGGUAACUCUCACACUGAAGUCUGUUCCCUGCACUCACUCUGGUUUUGGCUCUUAUAUAUUGCGCAGUUUUUAUGCUGCCCAGGCAGUGUGGCUUGCAAACAAAACAUAUCAUCCAUUUGUACUUUUGGAAAGGUUUUGUCCCACCCAAAGCCAGGCUGAGGCUGGUAGCAAACACAGCUUUGCAGAGGAAAUAUGUUGUUGUGCUUCCAGCUCUGCCAAGGGCUCAGCUGAUCCUGUGUUUCAGAGCACAGAUUCCAGUAAUGGGAAUGAAGCAGCAGUCAGUCAUCGGGCUCUCUCUUUUAGCAGUGUUAGCAGUUACACCACAAAAAGAAGUUGAACAGAAAGAGGCAUUCAGCUGGGGCUAGCUGAGUCUCAAUCUUUUGUCUGGAAAAUCCUUAACAUCCCCAUUGAGGACUGGAGUAACAAAUUAAAAACUUUUGUCUGCUUGCCCCUCCAAAUCAGCGCAUGGUUGGAAUGUACUGUGCAGCAGUGCUUGGGGCAUGGAUCUGGACACAGCAGGGGUGGAGAAAGGGUGCUGCCAUGUCCUGCUUUGGGAAUGACUUUGAGUCCUGUGCUGAAUGCAGAAAGCUAUGAAAAACAUCUUAUUUUCUUUAUGUGUGCAUGGAGAAUCCACUCAAACUCAAAAUUAAACAAUAAAUGGGAUGUUUUACCCCUCUUCAGGA